ACUCCUACGGGAGGCAGCAGUGGGGAAUAUUGCACAAUGGGCGCAAGCCUGAUGCAGCCAUGCCGCGUGUAUGAAGAAGGCCUUCGGGUUGUAAAGUACUUUCAGCAGUGAGGAAGGCAGGUACGUUAAUAGCGUGCUUGUUUGACGUUAGCUGCAGAAGAAGCACCGGCUAACUCCGUGCCAGCAGCCGCGGUAAUACGGAGGGUGCGAGCGUUAAUCGGAAUUACUGGGCGUAAAGCGCAUGCAGGUGGUUUGUUAAGUCAGAUGUGAAAGCCCGGGGCUCAACCUCGGAAUUGCAUUUGAAACUGGCAGACUAGAGUACUGUAGAGGGGGGUAGAAUUUCAGGUGUAGCGGUGAAAUGCGUAGAGAUCUGAAGGAAUACCGGUGGCGAAGGCGGCCCCCUGGACAGAUACUGACACUCAGAUGCGAAAGCGUGGGGAGCAAACAGGAUUAGAUACCCUGGUA
Molecule: ribosomal RNA, 465 nt
Filed under: uncultured bacterium
Lineage: Bacteria
Description: bacterial SSU rRNA
Rfam family: Bacterial small subunit ribosomal RNA
Source: RNAcentral